GCGCCCGUAGCUCAGCUGGAUAGAGCGGCGGCCUCCGGAGCCGCAGGUCAUGGGUUCGAAUCCCGUCGGGCGUACCA
Molecule: transfer RNA, 77 nt
Filed under: Planctomycetota bacterium
Lineage: Bacteria; Pseudomonadati; Planctomycetota
Description: tRNA-Arg
Rfam family: tRNA
About the family: Transfer RNA (tRNA) molecules are approximately 80 nucleotides in length. Their secondary structure includes four short double-helical elements and three loops (D, anti-codon, and T loops).
Source: RNAcentral